CCCUUUGCUCUUCCAGGGUUCAGCUUCCGGUUCCUUUUUGAGAACCAGCAGAGAAGGGAAAGGGGCAGAGAAACCAAAAAGAUGAGAUCCACAUGGCUCUGCUUUGUUCUCCUGAGCACCUUACCUGGUACCUCCUCGAGUCCUCAGCUGAUUCAGUCUGGCUUGGGAGUGGUGAAGCCUGGGGGCUCCCUCAAACUCACCUGCACUGUAACUGGGGUUCAAGUCAGUGAUUAUUACUGGGGAUGGAUCCGGCAGCUCCAAGGGAAAACUCUGGAAUGGCUGGGUUACAUUCGGGACACUGCAGAUGGAGGAACCCCCUACUACAAUUCUGCUUUUAGCAGUCGAGUCACCGUCUCCAGGGACACCUCCAGAAAUGAAGUCUACCUUCAGAUGAGCUCCAUGGCAGCUGCAGACACAGGAAUGUACUAUUGUGCAAGAGACACAGUGAGGCAAAGCAGCAAAGCACCCAUGCAAAUACCACAAGUGGCUUGA
Pogona vitticeps (central bearded dragon) is the source of this 492-nucleotide non-coding RNA. NCBI's taxonomy places the organism in Eukaryota, Metazoa, Chordata, Lepidosauria, Squamata, Agamidae. The record is from the annotation of a RefSeq genome assembly.